Molecule: ribosomal RNA, 773 nt
Filed under: uncultured Neocallimastigales
Lineage: Eukaryota; Fungi; Neocallimastigomycota; Neocallimastigomycetes; Neocallimastigales
Description: partial large subunit ribosomal RNA
Rfam family: Eukaryotic large subunit ribosomal RNA
Source: RNAcentral
CGCAUCUGUGCAUGCAGCAUAUCAAUAAGCGGAGGAAAAGAAACUAACAAGGAUUCCCUCAGUAACGGCGAGUGAAGCGGGAAGAGCUCAAAUUUGAAAUCUUGAAAGGUCACCUUUCACGAAUUGUAGUUUAAAGAAGUGUUUUCUGUUACGAUCGUAAUAUAAGUUCUUUGGAAUAGGACAUCACAGAGGGUGAGAAUCCCGUCUAUGAUUGCGAUUUGUAGCUUUGUGAUACACUUUCAAAGAGUCGGGUUGUUUGGGAAGUGCAGCCCAAAACGGGAGGUAAAUUUCUUCUAAGGCUAAAUAUUAGGCGAGAGACCGAUAGCGAACAAGUACCGUGAGGGAAAGAUGAAAAGAACUUUGAAAAGAGAGUUAAAUAGUACGUGAAAUUGUCAAAAGGGAAGCGUUUAACACCAGUGUUGUUUUCUGAAAAUCAACCUCUGUUAGCUUUAUGCAUGUUUGUUUAGACCUAAUCAGCUAUCUUGCAUGUUCUAUUGUUUGCAGUGGUGCACUUUUCAGUUUACAGGUCAACAUCAGUUUUUUUUACCGUAAAAAAGUUAAAGAAAGGUAGCUCAUGGCUCCGGUCGUGAGUGUUAUAGUCUUUUUCCUAUGCGGUAGGAGAGACUGAGGUCUGCAGUGUAGGCUAUUUGGCUAGAUACUCAGGUGCUAUGUGAUACCAUUUCAUAAACAACUUGUUGAUUAUGUUUUGUCUAUUGCAUACUCGCUUGUACUAUCAUACCUACGCUUAGGAUGUUGACGAUCAGCUGAGCGCG